AUGCAAGUCGAGCGGGAUUUCUUUUGGUAGCAAUACCGAGAGAAAUUCAGCGGCGAACGGGUGCGUAACACGUGGGCAAUUUGCCUUAAAGUGUGGGAUAGCUCGGCGAAAGCCGAAUUAAUACCGCAUGUGGCUACUGGAGACAUCUUCGGGACGCUAAAGGUGGCGCAAGCUACCGCUUUUUGAGAAGCCCGCGGCCUAUCAGCUUGUUGGUGAGGUAACGGCUCACCAAGGCUAUGACGGGUAGCUGGUCUGAGAGGACGACCAGCCACACUGGGACUGAGACACGGCCCAGACACCUACGGGUGGCAGCAGUCGAGAAUUUUUGACAAUGGGGGAAACCCUGAUCGAGCGACGCCGCGUGGAGGAUGAAGGUCUUCGGGUUGUAAACUCCUGUCAUUUGGGAACAAGGCGCGGCUAUUAACUGUAGCCGCGUUGAUAGUACCAGAAGAGGAAGAGACGGCUAACUCUGUGUCAGCAGCCGCGGUAAUACAGAGGUCUCAAGCGUUGUUCGGAUUCAUUGGGCGUAAAGGGUGUGUAGGUGGCGCGCUAAGUCGGGUGUGAAAUUUCGGAGCUUAACUCCGAAACUGCAUUCGAUACUGGCGUGCUUGAGGACUGGAGAGGAGACUGGA
Molecule: ribosomal RNA, 632 nt
Filed under: uncultured soil bacterium
Lineage: Bacteria
Description: bacterial SSU rRNA
Rfam family: Bacterial small subunit ribosomal RNA
Source: RNAcentral